CCUACGGGUGGCAGCAGUGAGGAAUAUUGGUCAAUGGACGAGAGUCUGAACCAGCCAAGUAGCGUGAAUGAUGACUGCCCUAUGGGUUUUAAACUUCUUUUAUAAAGGAAUAAAACGAGGCACGUGUGCCUUUUUGCAUGUACUUUAUCAAUAAGGAUCGGCUAACUCCGUGCCAGCAGCCGCGGUGAUACGGAGGAUCCGAGCGUUAUCCGGAUUUAUUGGGUUUAAAGGGAGCGUAGAUGGGAUGUUAAGUCAGUUGUGAAAGUUUGCGGAUCAACCGUAAAAUUGCAAUUGAUACUGGCAGUCUGGAGUACAGGUGAGGUAGGCGGAAUUCGUGGUGGAGCGGUGAAAUGCUUAGAUAUCACGAAGAACCCCGAGUGCGAAGGCAGCUUACUAAACUGUGACUGACAUUGAUGCUCGAAAGUGUGGGGAUCAAACAGGAUUAGAUACCCUGGUAGUC
Molecule: ribosomal RNA, 460 nt
Filed under: uncultured bacterium
Lineage: Bacteria
Description: partial 16S ribosomal RNA
Rfam family: Bacterial small subunit ribosomal RNA
Source: RNAcentral